CGCAGCCAGCGAGUUUAAACCUUUUCCGAAAGGAAUGGGUAAUCUUGUUAAACUGCGUCGUGCUGGGGAUAGAGCUUUGCAAUUUUUGCUCUUGAACGAGGAAUUCCUAGUAAGCGCAAGUCAUCAACUUGCGUUGAUUACGUCCCUGCCCUUUGUACACACCGCCCGUCGUUACUACCGAUUGAAUGGCUUAGUGAGAUCCUAGGAGAGUUUGUGCAUGAGGGCAACCUCUAGCGCGAGUUCAAAUUCGAUCAAACUUGGUCAUUUAGAGGAAGUACAAGUCGUAACAAGGUUUCCGUAGGUGAACCUGCGGAAGGAUCAUUUCUGAAGGCUACACGCCAACAUUGUGAAACGCACUUUCGGGUGCAUUGAAAGAGUGCUCUCGGGCACACUUUUCUUUUAACUUUUAUUUUUUAAUCUGACAACCAAGAAAAUUUAAAACUUUCAACAACGGAUCUCUUGGUUCUCGCAUCGAUGAAGAACGCAGCAAAGCGCGAUAGGUAAUGCGAAUUGCAGACGUGAGUCAUUGAAUCUUUGAACGCACAUUGCGCUACUGGGCUAUAUGCUCAGUAGCAUGCUUGUUGGAGCGCCGAUCUUUCUCCUCUACCUGUUUCGACAGGCCUGAGGGUUCUGCUCCCACCGGGAGUGAAAGACAUGGAAGUGCACACGUUAGAUAACUCUGUGCAGUUACACUUUUACACUUUUGGCCCCCAAUCAAGCAAGGCUACCCGCUGAACUUAAGCAUAUCAAUAAGCGGAGGAAAAGAAACCAACAGGGAUUGCCCUAGUAACGGCGAGUGAACAGGCAAAAGCUCAGAUUUGAAAGCCUCUCGGGGCAUUGUAUUCUGAAGCCUUGAUUCUGAGAACCGGUACCUAAGUCUUCUGGAAAGGAGCGCCAAGGAGGGUGAUAGCCCCGUACGGUACUGACCUCAUUGUAGAAUCUUGGCGUGGAGUCGAGUUGUUUGGGAAUGCAGCUCAAAUGGGUGGUAUGCUCCAUCUAAAGCUAAAUAUCUGCGAGAGACCGAUAGCGAACAAGUACUGUGAAGGAAAGAUGAAAAGAACUUUGAAAAGAGAGUGAAAAAGUACGUGAAAUUGUUGAAAUGGAAGGAUAGGCCGCUAACCACGUAGAGCCGUGUCUGAGGGGAGGAUAAAAGCUGUAGAAUGUGGCUCUUCGGAGUGUUAUAGCUACAGUGCAUACUCCCACUCGGGCGCGAGGACCUAAGGCUCUGCUAAAUGGUGGUCUAUCACCCGUCUUGAAACACGGACCAAGGAGUCUAUUGCCUGCGCGAGUAUUUGGG
RNAcentral lists this ribosomal RNA (1297 nucleotides) under Starmerella bombicola. RNAcentral describes it as "eukaryotic LSU rRNA". The stretch from base 705 to 1297 matches the Rfam family "Eukaryotic large subunit ribosomal RNA", at positions 1 to 698 of the family's 3401-position model. Lineage: Eukaryota; Fungi; Ascomycota; Dipodascomycetes; Dipodascales; Trichomonascaceae. The record is from RNAcentral.